UACGGCAAGUGAUGAAAUUGUUUUAUGCUACACUGAUAAGCCGUGUAGACAACAAACUCCGCUUAUUAUCUGAUGCCAUC
Citrus sinensis (sweet orange) is the source of this 80-nucleotide non-coding RNA. NCBI's taxonomy places the organism in Eukaryota, Viridiplantae, Streptophyta, Magnoliopsida, Sapindales, Rutaceae. The record is from Rfam.